Molecule: ribosomal RNA, 253 nt
Filed under: uncultured bacterium
Lineage: Bacteria
Description: partial 16S ribosomal RNA
Rfam family: Bacterial small subunit ribosomal RNA
Source: RNAcentral
UACGUAGGGGGCUAGCGUUGCUCGGAAUCACUGGGCGUAAAGCGCACGUAGGCGGCUUUUUAAGUCAGGUGUGAAAUCCUGGAGCUCAACUCCAGAACUGCCUUUGAUACUGGGAAGCUUGAGUCCGGAAGAGGUGAGUGGAACUCCGAGUGUAGAGGUGAAAUUCGUAGAUAUUCGGAAGAACACCAGUGGCGAAGGCGGCUCACUGGUCCGGUACUGACGCUGAGGUGCGAAAGCGUGGGGAGCAAACAGG